RNAcentral lists this ribosomal RNA (506 nucleotides) under uncultured bacterium. Its description in RNAcentral is "partial 16S ribosomal RNA". It matches the Rfam family "Bacterial small subunit ribosomal RNA", at positions 29 to 523 of the family's 1533-position model. The record is from RNAcentral.
AGUGAACGCUGGCGGUAGGCCUAACACAUGCAAGUCGAACGGCAGCACAGGAGAGCUUGCUCUCUGGGUGGCGAGUGGCGGACGGGUGAGGAAUGCAUCGGAAUCUACUUUUUCGUGGGGGAUAACGUAGGGAAACUUACGCUAAUACCGCAUACGACCUACGGGUGAAAGCAGGGGACCUUCGGGCCUUGCGCGGUUGAAUGAGCCGAUGUCGGAUUAGCCAGUUGGCGGGGUAAAGGCCCACCAAGGCGACGAUCCGUAGCUGGUCUGAGAGGAUGAUCAGCCACACUGGAACUGAGACACGGUCCAGACUCCUACGGGAGGCAGCAGUGGGGAAUAUUGGACAAUGGGCGCAAGCCUGAUCCAGCCAUACCGCGUGGGUGAAGAAGGCCUUCGGGUUGUAAAGCCCUUUUGUUGGGAAAGAAAUCCAGCUGGCUAAUACCCGGUUGGGAUGACGGUACCCAAAGAAUAAGCACCGGCUAACUUCGUGCCAGCCGCCGCCGUAA